AUUGAACGCUGGCGGCAGGCCUAACACAUGCAAGUCGAGCGGAUGAAGGGAGCUUGCUCCUGGAUUCAGCGGCGGACGGGUGAGUAAUUCCUAGGAAUCUGCCUGGUAGUGGGGGAUAACGUCCGGAAACGGGCGCUAAUACCGCAUACGUCCUGAGGGAGAAAGUGGGGGAUCUUCGGACCUCACGCUAUCAGAUGAGCCUAGGUCGGAUUAGCUAGUUGGUGGGGUAAAGGCCUACCAAGGCGACGAUCCGUAACUGGUCUGAGAGGAUGACCAGUCACACUGGAACUGAGACACGGUCCAGACUCCUACGGGAGGCAGCAGUGGGGAAUAUUGGACAAAGGGCGAAAGCCUGAUCAAGACAUGCCGCGUGUGUGAAGAAGGUCUUCGGAUUGUAAAGCACGUUAAGUUGGGAGGAAGGGCAGUAAGUUAAUAACUUGCUGUUUUGACGGUACCAACAGAAUAAGCACCGGCUAACUUCGUG
This 484-nucleotide ribosomal RNA is filed under the name uncultured bacterium. Its description in RNAcentral is "partial 16S ribosomal RNA". It matches the Rfam family "Bacterial small subunit ribosomal RNA", at positions 30 to 507 of the family's 1533-position model. The record is from RNAcentral.